This 254-nucleotide ribosomal RNA is filed under the name uncultured bacterium. Its description in RNAcentral is "partial 16S ribosomal RNA". It matches the Rfam family "Bacterial small subunit ribosomal RNA", at positions 524 to 776 of the family's 1533-position model. The record is from RNAcentral.
UACGUAGGGUGCGAGCGUUGUCCGGAAUUAUUGGGCGUAAAGAGCUCGUAGGCGGUGUGUCACGUCGGCCGUGAAAACCUGCAGCUUAACUGUGGGCGUGCGGUCGAUACGGGCAUCACUGGAGUUCGGCAGGGGAGACUGGAAUUCCUGGUGUAGCGGUGAAAUGCGUAGAUAUCGGGAGGAACACCGGUGGCGAAGGCGGGUCUCUGGGCCGAUACUGACGCUGAGGAGCGAAAGCGUGGGGAGCGAACAGG